RNAcentral lists this ribosomal RNA (253 nucleotides) under uncultured bacterium. RNAcentral's name for it is "partial 16S ribosomal RNA". It matches the Rfam family "Bacterial small subunit ribosomal RNA", at positions 524 to 776 of the family's 1533-position model. The record is from RNAcentral.
UACGUAGGAGGCAAGCGUUGUCCGGAUUUACUGGGCGUAAAGGGCUCGCAGGCGGUUCACUAAGUCUGACGUGAAAUCUCCCGGCUUAACUGGGAGGGUGCAUUGGAAACUGGCGAACUUGAGGGCAUCAGAGGAGAGUGGAAUUCCCGGUGUAGUGGUGAAAUGCGUAGAUAUCGGGAGGAACACCAGUGGCGAAGGCGGCUCUCUGGGGUGCAUCUGACGCUGAGGAGCGAAAGCGUGGGGAGCGAACCGG